AAACUGCAACCACAGGCUUCCAACACUAAGAUGCUCAACCGAAGAAGCCACGCUCUUAAGAGAGCAGGAAAAAACUGGUUUCGUUUUGCCCAGAAUGUGAUACUCCGGAACAUAGAGGAAAAGGUAUUAAAUCUCUCCUCUUGGCUCACUGAUCUCCGUGGACCCAAUUUCCACCCUGUAAUUAAGCAUCUGGAUACACUCUGAGUUGCAUUACGGGAAAUGCUGUUUUGAGAGUAUCACAUAGUUGAGCAACCACCCUCUGCUUCUCAAAGUGAUAAAAUGGUGAUGAAUUGCAAAUGCCAGAGUGUUUGAUGACCUUUCCAAUGAUUUUCUUGAUUACUGUCCAAACAUCCUUGUUACACAUAUGGCUUCUGUGAAUAGUAAACUAUUAUAGCAAUUUAAAUUAUUUAAAUUAGUAUGUGCUCCAUGUUUGUUUUUUACAUUUUUGGUAAUUC
Molecule: long non-coding RNA, 455 nt
Filed under: Homo sapiens (human)
Lineage: Eukaryota; Metazoa; Chordata; Mammalia; Primates; Hominidae
Source: RNAcentral